This 421-nucleotide ribosomal RNA is filed under the name uncultured bacterium. Its description in RNAcentral is "bacterial SSU rRNA". It matches the Rfam family "Bacterial small subunit ribosomal RNA", at positions 355 to 773 of the family's 1533-position model. The record is from RNAcentral.
UGAGGAAUAUUGGGCAAUGCCCGCAAGGGUGACCCAGCAACGCCGCGUGGAGGAUGAAUGUCGUAAGAUUGUAAACUCCUGUUAGAGGGGAAGAAUAGUACCGGUUGGACCGGUAUAUGACUGUACCCUCAGAGAAAGCCCCGGCUAACUACGUGCCAGCAGCCGCGGUAAUACGGAGGGUGCAAGCGUUAUCCGGAUUCACUGGGUUUAAAGGGUGCGUAGGUGGGCAGAUAAGUCAGUGGUGAAAUCUUCCGGCUUAACCGGGAAACUGCCGUUGAUACUAUUUGUCUUGAAUAUUGCGGAGGUAAGCGGAAUAUGUCAUGUAGCGGUGAAAUGCUUAGAUAUGACAUAGAACACCAAUUGCGAAGGCAGCUUACUACACAAUCAUUGACACUGAGGCACGAAAGCGUGGGUAGCGAAC